Molecule: ribosomal RNA, 301 nt
Filed under: uncultured bacterium
Lineage: Bacteria
Description: partial 16S ribosomal RNA
Rfam family: Bacterial small subunit ribosomal RNA
Source: RNAcentral
CAGCAGCCGCGGGAAUACGUAUGUCACAAGCGUUAUCCGGGUUUAUUGGGCGUAAAGCGCGUCUAGGUGGUUAUGUAAGUCUGAUGUGAAAAUGCAGGGCUCAACUCUGUAUUGCGUUGGAAACUGUGUAACUAGAGUACUGGAGAGGUAAGCGGAACUACAAGUGUAGAGGUGAAAUUCGUAGAUAUUUGUAGGAAUGCCGAUGGGGAAGCCAGCUUACUGGACAGAUACUGACGCUAAAGCGCGAAAGCGUGGGUAGCAAACAGGAUUAGAUACCCCCGUAGUCCCUGUCUCUUAUACC